UUAAGCGACUAAGCGUACACGGUGGAUGCCCUGGCAGUCAGAGGCGAUGAAGGACGUGCUAAUCUGCGAUAAGCGCCGGUAAGGUGAUAUGAACCGUUAUAACCGGCGAUUUCCGAAUGGGGAAACCCAGUGUGACUCGUCACACUAUCAUUAACUGAAUCCAUAGGUUAAUGAGGCGAACCGGGGGAACUGAAACAUCUAAGUACCCCGAGGAAAAGAAAUCAACCGAGAUUCCCCCAGUAGCGGCGAGCGAACGGGGAGGAGCCCAGAGCCUGAAUCAGCAUGUGUGUUAGUGGAAGCGUCUGGAAAGGCGCGCGAUACAGGGUGACAGCCCCGUACACAAAAGCGCAUGUGCUGUGAGCUCGAUGAGUAGGGCGGGACACGUGGUAUCCUGUCUGAAUAUGGGGGGACCAUCCUCCAAGGCUAAAUACUCCUGACUGACCGAUAGUGAACCAGUACCGUGAGGGAAAGGCGAAAAGAACCCCGGCGAGGGGAGUGAAAAAGAACCUGAAACCGUGUACGUACAAGCAGUGGGAGCACCCUUUGGGUGUGACUGCGUACCUUUUGUAUAAUGGGUCAGCGACUUAUAUUCUGUAGCAAGGUUAACCGAAUAGGGGAGCCGGAGGGAAACCGAGUCUUAAUUGGGCGUUAAGUUGCAGGGUAUAGACCCGAAACCCGGUGAUCUAGCCAUGGGCAGGUUGAAGGUUGGGUAACACUAACUGGAGGACCGAACCGACUAAUGUUGAAAAAUUAGCGGAUGACCUGUGGCUGGGGGUGAAAGGCCAAUCAAACCGGGAGAUAGCUGGUUCUCCCCGAAAGCUAUUUAGGUAGCGCCUCGUGAAUUCAUCUCCGGGGGUAGAGCACUGUUUCGGCUAGGGGGCCAUCCCGGCUUACCAACCCGAUGCAAACUGCGAAUACCGGAGAAUGUUAUCACGGGAGACACACGGCGGGUGCUAACGUCCGUCGUGAAGAGGGAAACAACCCAGACCGCCAGCUAAGGUCCCAAAGUCAUGGUUAAGUGGGAAACGAUGUGGGAAGGCCCAGACAGCCAGGAUGUUGGCUUAGAAGCAGCCAUCAUUUAAAGAAAGCGUAAUAGCUCACUGGUCGAGUCGGCCUGCGCGGAAGAUGUAACGGGGCUAAACCAUGCACCGAAGCUGCGGCAGCGACGCUGAUGCGUUGUUGGGUAGGGGAGCGUUCUGUAAGCCUGCGAAGGUGUGUCGUGAGGCAUGCUGGAGGUAUCAGAAGUGCGAAUGCUGACAUAAGUAACGAUAAAGCGGGUGAAAAGCCCGCUCGCCGGAAGACCAAGGGUUCCUGUCCAACGUUAAUCGGGGCAGGGUGAGUCGACCCCUAAGGCGAGGCCGAAAGGCGUAGUCGAUGGGAAACGGUUAAUAUUCCCGUACUUGGUGUUACUGCGAAGGGGGGACGGAGAAGGCUAUGUUGGCCGGGCGACGGUUGUCCCGGUUUAAGCGUGUAGGUGUGUGUUCCAGGUAAAUCCGGUUCACUUUAACACUGAGGCGUGAUGACGAGGCACUACGGUGCUGAAGCAACAAAUGCCCUGCUUCCAGGAAAAGCCUCUAAGCAUCAGGUAACAUCAAAUCGUACCCCAAACCGACACAGGUGGUCAGGUAGAGAAUACCAAGGCGCUUGAGAGAACUCGGGUGAAGGAACUAGGCAAAAUGGUGCCGUAACUUCGGGAGAAGGCACGCUGACACGUAGGUGAAGUGAUUUACUCAUGGAGCUGAAGUCAGUCGAAGAUACCAGCUGGCUGCAACUGUUUAUUAAAAACACAGCACUGUGCAAACACGAAAGUGGACGUAUACGGUGUGACGCCUGCCCGGUGCCGGAAGGUUAAUUGAUGGGGUCAGCGCAAGCGAAGCUCCUGAUCGAAGCCCCGGUAAACGGCGGCCGUAACUAUAACGGUCCUAAGGUAGCGAAAUUCCUUGUCGGGUAAGUUCCGACCUGCACGAAUGGCGUAAUGAUGGCCAGGCUGUCUCCACCCGAGACUCAGUGAAAUUGAACUCGCUGUGAAGAUGCAGUGUACCCGCGGCAAGACGGAAAGACCCCGUGAACCUUUACUAUAGCUUGACACUGAACAUUGAGCCUUGAUGUGUAGGAUAGGUGGGAGGCUUUGAAGUGUGGACGCCAGUCUGCAUGGAGCCGGCCUUGAAAUACCACCCUUUAAUGUUUGAUGUUCUAACGUGGACCCGUGAUCCGGGUUGCGGACAGUGUCUGGUGGGUAGUUUGACUGGGGCGGUCUCCUCCUAAAGAGUAACGGAGGAGCACGAAGGUUGGCUAAUCCUGGUCGGACAUCAGGAGGUUAGUGCAAUGGCAUAAGCCAGCUUGACUGCGAGCGUGACGGCGCGAGCAGGUGCGAAAGCAGGUCAUAGUGAUCCGGUGGUUCUGAAUGGAAGGGCCAUCGCUCAACGGAUAAAAGGUACUCCGGGGAUAACAGGCUGAUACCGCCCAAGAGUUCAUAUCGACGGCGGUGUUUGGCACCUCGAUGUCGGCUCAUCACAUCCUGGGGCUGAAGUAGGUCCCAAGGGUAUGGCUGUUCGCCAUUUAAAGUGGUACGCGAGCUGGGUUUAGAACGUCGUGAGACAGUUCGGUCCCUAUCUGCCGUGGGCGCUGGAGAACUGAGGGGGGCUGCUCCUAGUACGAGAGGACCGGAGUGGACGCAUCACUGGUGUUCGGGUUGUCAUGCCAAUGGCACUGCCCGGUAGCUAAAUGCGGAAGAGAUAAGUGCUGAAAGCAUCUAAGCACGAAACUUGCCCCGAGAUGAGUUCUCCCUGAGACUUAGAGUCUCCUGAAGGAACGUUGAAGACGACGACGUUGAUAGGCCGGGUGUGUAAGCGCAGCGAUGCGUUGAGCUAACCGGUACUAAUGAACCGUGAGGCUUAACCUU
Molecule: ribosomal RNA, 2902 nt
Filed under: Salmonella enterica subsp. enterica
Lineage: Bacteria; Pseudomonadati; Pseudomonadota; Gammaproteobacteria; Enterobacterales; Enterobacteriaceae
Description: 23S ribosomal RNA
Rfam family: Bacterial large subunit ribosomal RNA
Source: RNAcentral